GAGGGUAGAGCUCAGUUGUAGAGCACAUGUUUAGCAUGCACGAGGUCCUGGGUUCAAUCCCCAGCACCACCA
Molecule: transfer RNA, 72 nt
Filed under: Camelus bactrianus (Bactrian camel)
Lineage: Eukaryota; Metazoa; Chordata; Mammalia; Artiodactyla; Camelidae
Also listed under: 2 other names
Rfam family: tRNA
About the family: Transfer RNA (tRNA) molecules are approximately 80 nucleotides in length.
Source: Rfam by way of RNAcentral